Molecule: ribosomal RNA, 253 nt
Filed under: uncultured prokaryote
Description: partial 16S ribosomal RNA
Rfam family: Bacterial small subunit ribosomal RNA
Source: RNAcentral
ACGAAGGGUGCAAGCGUUAAUCGGAAUUACUGGGCGUAAAGGGUGCGUAGGCGGUUCGUUAAGUCUGUUGUGAAAUCCCCGAGCUCAACCUGGGAAUUGCAAUGGAUACUGGCAGGCUGGAGUACGGUAGAGGAAGGUGGAAUUCCCGGUGUAGCAGUGAAAUGCGUAGAGAUCGGGAGGAACACCAGUGGCGAAGGCGGCCAUCUGGGACAACACUGACGCUGAAGCACGAAAGCGUGGGGAGCAAACAGGA